UUUCAUAAAUUAAUUUUCAUCUACAAAAUUCACCAUACCACUUUUCAUCAACACACACAAAAUUCAAUAUUCAAUACACAAACAAACCCUUUCAAUUCAAUUAAUCAGUCCAUGGUUUCUUCACAAUUAUUCUCAGCAUCUAAUUUAUGUUCUUCUUCUUUAAGAACUGUUAAUGCUGCUAUUCAUCUUCCUAAACUUCCACGACUCCCUAAUUUCUCAAUUCCUCAAUUACCAAACACAAGACAAAUCAUUGAAGAUUUUAAUGUUUCCAUUGAUCAUAACUCAAUCAAAUUAGAACAAAAGAUUAAUAAUAAUGACAUAUCCAACAAUAUUAANNNN
Molecule: long non-coding RNA, 339 nt
Filed under: Trifolium pratense (red clover)
Lineage: Eukaryota; Viridiplantae; Streptophyta; Magnoliopsida; Fabales; Fabaceae
Description: long non-coding RNA (TPRA_LNC003312)
Source: RNAcentral